Molecule: long non-coding RNA, 623 nt
Organism: Gopherus evgoodei (Goodes thornscrub tortoise)
Lineage: Eukaryota; Metazoa; Chordata; Testudines; Testudinidae
Exons: 4
Source: RefSeq, a predicted model, not a curated record
CCCCCCACCAGGGCCCCAAUCUCCCUCCCAGAGAGCCAGACCCAGUGCCGGAUGCAUUUGUGACAGGGCUGGGAAGAAAGCCAGGCGGGAUUCAUCCCCUCAUAGCUGCUUGGGGUGCCUGGCUGGGUCCCCCGUCGUGCUCGGAGCGAUACGGAGACCCCCGGGAGCUCCCUCAGCAGACCCCACGCCCCAGCACAGUGGCAAAGCGCCUGGCUGGAAAAAAGGGUGAUCUGAGGAACAAUCCUUCACUUGUCUCUGCAUCCCAGAGCACCAUAGCGACACAUGUCCGGCCUCGCCAUUGCUGCGGUGCGGCGAGAGGGGAAACCAAGGCACCAAGAGAUCAGAAUGAAAACCAAAGACUUCCUAACUUCCCCGAUGAUGAUCAUAUAUAAUCUAAGCUGAAAUCAAACAAUUUGACGUGAAAACUCCAAAGGUUGCACUGAAAAGAAAUGUUGCCCAACCAGACGCCUGCUUGCGGGAAGUUGCCAUUUGCAUCAAACAGCAUUUUUGGAUGGAAAAACCAGCCCCUCGGGCAACCGCUGCGCAGGUCGUCCGGGAAGGGGCGUGGAACCGGGGCUACAGAUUCUCUCCGAAGCAGAGCCCCAGGGAUAGAUUUUUUUGGU